RNAcentral lists this ribosomal RNA (433 nucleotides) under uncultured bacterium. RNAcentral describes it as "partial 16S ribosomal RNA". It matches the Rfam family "Bacterial small subunit ribosomal RNA", at positions 29 to 507 of the family's 1533-position model. The record is from RNAcentral.
AACGAACGCUGGCGGCAUGCCUAACACAUGCAAGUCGAACGAUGCCUUCGGGCAUAGUGGCGCACGGGUGCGUAACGCGUGGGAAUCUGCCUUUCGGUUCGGAAUAACUCAGGGAAACUUGAGCUAAUACCGGAUAACGUCGCAAGACCAAAGAUUUAUCACCGAAAGAUGAGCCCGCGUAGGAUUAGCUAGUUGGCGAGGUAAAGGCUCACCAAGGCGACGAUCCUUAGCUGGUCUGAGAGGAUGAUCAGCCACACUGGGACUGAGACACGGCCCAGACUCCUACGGGAGGCAGCAGUGGGGAAUAUUGGACAAUGGGCGAAAGCCUGAUCCAGCAAUGCCGCGUGAGUGAUGAAGGCCUUAGGGUUGUAAAGCUCUUUUACCCGGGAAGAUAAUGACGGUACCGGGAGAAUAAGCCCCGGCUAACUCCGUG